AUUUGUUUAUAGUAAUGUGCUCUAGUGGUGCGCUUUGUUGGUGGCUAUCUUUACUCUUGAGAUAGACAGGGGUGCAUUUCUGAUUUGAAUGUGUUCCUUGAUGCUAUGAAUAACUUGAUGUCUAUCUGAUUAUGUGUCGAUGCUAAAGACAGUGGAACACGUCCAUGUUGUUAGAUUCCUAAUGUGGAGUAAAGGUGAUCUUGUGGAUAUCUCUAAUGAUAAAGCUCCACGGUACACCAUGCAUUAUGACGAAUUGAGAACAUCAAAUAUUUUUGUUUUUGGGACUUGUGAUAAAUGCUAG
This 301-nucleotide long non-coding RNA is filed under the name Medicago truncatula (barrel medic). RNAcentral describes it as "lncRNA gene34022". The record is from RNAcentral. Lineage: Eukaryota; Viridiplantae; Streptophyta; Magnoliopsida; Fabales; Fabaceae.